CCAACUCUUCCACGAACCCCCCACGAAUGGUCCUCCCUUAACUCAAUGAACUAUGAGAAUUCCUUUGCCUAGUUUUUUUCUUUUCAGUUCUCAUAAGUCCUUGAUAUACUAGCAGAAACUCAAUACUUGACCGACUGCGUCACAGUGCUCAGGUAAAGUGGCAGUGGUUGAAAGCGAGCGGAAACGUCAGUGUUUUCUGUGCGUUACGAUAGUAGUGGUGAAAGAAAAUCCAAUUCUAAUAUCUCAACGUA
RNAcentral lists this long non-coding RNA (251 nucleotides) under Oryza brachyantha (malo sina). RNAcentral's name for it is "long non-coding RNA (OBRA_LNC003627)". The record is from RNAcentral. Lineage: Eukaryota; Viridiplantae; Streptophyta; Magnoliopsida; Poales; Poaceae.